GGUAGUAUGGCUGAGAUAGCGGUAGGCUGUAAACCUACAAACAGGGUAAAAUCCUUGCUGCCA
RNAcentral lists this transfer RNA (63 nucleotides) under Sinomicrurus peinani. RNAcentral's name for it is "tRNA-Tyr". It matches the Rfam family "tRNA". Rfam says of the family: Transfer RNA (tRNA) molecules are approximately 80 nucleotides in length. The record is from RNAcentral. Lineage: Eukaryota; Metazoa; Chordata; Lepidosauria; Squamata; Elapidae.